ACGAACGCUGGCGGCGUGCUUAACACAUGCACGUCGAACGGAAAGGCCCUUCGGGGUACUCGAGUGGCGAACGGGUGAGUAACACGUGGGUGAUCUGCCCUGCACUUUGGGAUAAGCCUGGGAAACUGGGUCUAAUACCGAAUAGGACCACGCGCUUCAUGGUGUGUGGUGGAAAGCUUUUGCGGUGUGGGAUGGGCCCGCGGCCUAUCAGCUUGUUGGUGGGGUAAUGGCCUACCAAGGCGACGACGGGUAGCCGGCCUGAGAGGGUGACCGGCCACACUGGGACUGAGAUACGGCCCAGACUCCUACGGGAGGCAGCAGUGGGGAAUAUUGCACAAUGGGCGCAAGCCUGAUGCAGCGACGCCGCGUGAGGGAUGACGGCCUUCGGGUUGUAAACCUCUUUCAAUAGGGACGAAGCGCAAGUGACGGUACCUAUAGAAGAAGCACCGGCCAACUACGUG
This 461-nucleotide ribosomal RNA is filed under the name uncultured bacterium. Its description in RNAcentral is "partial 16S ribosomal RNA". It matches the Rfam family "Bacterial small subunit ribosomal RNA", at positions 29 to 507 of the family's 1533-position model. The record is from RNAcentral.